RNAcentral lists this microRNA precursor (76 nucleotides) under Myotis brandtii (Brandt's bat). Its description in RNAcentral is "mir-9229 microRNA precursor family". It matches the Rfam family "mir-9229 microRNA precursor family". The record is from Rfam by way of RNAcentral. Lineage: Eukaryota; Metazoa; Chordata; Mammalia; Chiroptera; Vespertilionidae.
GAGACACCCCUAUGGAGCAGGAAUUGCUUCAAUGUGACUUUGGUGCUCACUGAGUCUGCCCCUUGAGUGUGUUGCU